CAGUAGCCACGGUAAUACGGAGGGUGCAAGCGUUAAUCGGAAUUACUGGGCGUAAAGCGUGCGCAGGCGGUUCGUUAAGUCUGUUGUGAAAGCCCCGGGCUCAACCUGGGAAUGGCAAUGGAUACUGGCGAGCUAGAGUGUGUCAGAGGAUGGUGGAAUUCCCGGUGUAGCGGUGAAAUGCGUAGAGAUCGGGAGGAACAUCAGUGGCGAAGGCGGCCAUCUGGGACAACACUGACACUGAGAGACGAAAGCUAGGGGAGCAAAUGGGAUUAGAUACCCCAGUAGUCCCUGUCUCUUAUAC
RNAcentral lists this ribosomal RNA (301 nucleotides) under uncultured bacterium. RNAcentral's name for it is "partial 16S ribosomal RNA". It matches the Rfam family "Bacterial small subunit ribosomal RNA", at positions 509 to 807 of the family's 1533-position model. The record is from RNAcentral.